RNAcentral lists this ribosomal RNA (605 nucleotides) under Plateros sp. UPOL A00498. Its description in RNAcentral is "partial 16S ribosomal RNA". The stretch from base 379 to 537 matches the Rfam family "Bacterial large subunit ribosomal RNA", at positions 2473 to 2632 of the family's 2925-position model. Lineage: Eukaryota; Metazoa; Arthropoda; Insecta; Coleoptera; Lycidae. The record is from RNAcentral.
CAUGUCUUUUUGAUUAUAAUUUAAAGUCUAAUCUGCACAAUGAUUAUUAAAUUGCCGCAGUAUUUUGACUGUGCAAAGGUAGCAUAAUAAUUAGUUUCUUAAUUAGGAACUGGUAUGAAUGAUUGGACGAGAAAAUAACUGUCUCUUAAUAAAUUGUUUUUAAAUUUUAUUUUUAAGUUAAAAAGCUUAAAUAAUUAUAAAAGACAAGAAGACCCUAUAGAGUUUUAUAUUUAUAGUUGAUUGGUUAUUAGAAAUAUUUUUUGAUUUAAAGUAUUUGGUUGGGGUGAUUUAUGGAUUUAUGUAAUUCUUUAAAUAUUUUAUUGAUGAUUAUUAAAUUAUUAUUCUAAAAUUUUUAAAAUUAAAAUUAAUUACCUUAGGGAUAACAGCGUAAUUUUUCUUAAAAGCUCUUAUUGAAAGAAAAUUUUGCGACCUCGAUGUUGGAUUAAAAUAAAUUUUUAGUGCAGUAACUAGAAAAUUAGGUCUGUUCGACCUUUAAUAUUUUACAUGAUCUGAGUUUAAAUCGGUGUAAGCCAGGUUGGAUUCUAUCUUUAGUUUUAUUAAAUGUUUUAGUACGAAAGGACCAAAUAUUUAUUAUAUAUUAAUUA